AUUGAACGCUGGCGGCAUGCCUUACACAUGCAAGUCGAACGGUAACAGGUUAAGCUGACGAGUGGCGAACGGGGGAGUAAUAUAUCGGAACGUGCCCAGUCGUGGGGGAUAACGUAGCGAAAUCUACGCUAAUACCGCAUAAGAUCUACGGAUGAAAGCGGGGGAUCGCACGACCUCGAGCGAUUGGAGCGGCCGUUAGCAGUUUAGGUUGUUGGUGAGGGAAAAGCUCACCAAGCCUGCGAUCUGUAGCUGGUCUGAAGGGACGACCAGCCACACUGGAACUGAGACACGGUGCAGACUCCUACUGGAGGCAGCAGUGGGGAAAUUUGGACAAUGGACGCAAGUCUGAUCCAGCAAUGCCGCGUGCAGGACGAAGGCCUUCGGGUUGUAAACUGCUUUUGUACGGAACGAAACGGUGAGCUCUAAUAUAGUUUGCUAAUGACGGUACCGUAAGAAUAAGCACCGGCUAACUACGUGCCAGCAGCCGCGGUAA
This 493-nucleotide ribosomal RNA is filed under the name uncultured bacterium. RNAcentral describes it as "partial 16S ribosomal RNA". It matches the Rfam family "Bacterial small subunit ribosomal RNA", at positions 30 to 523 of the family's 1533-position model. The record is from RNAcentral.